This 518-nucleotide ribosomal RNA is filed under the name uncultured delta proteobacterium. RNAcentral's name for it is "bacterial SSU rRNA". It matches the Rfam family "Bacterial small subunit ribosomal RNA", at positions 35 to 527 of the family's 1533-position model. The record is from RNAcentral. Lineage: Bacteria; Deltaproteobacteria.
GCUGGCGGCGUGGUUACACAUGCAAGUCGUACGAGAAACCGGAACUUCGGUUCCGGGAGUAAAGUGGCGCACGGGUGAGUAACGCGUAGGUAAUCUACCCUUGGGUUUGGAAUAACCCGCCGAAAGGCGGACUAAUACCGGAUAAGAUCUUUCAGAGGGAUCUGAAAGAUCAAAGGUGGCCUCUCCAUGGAUGCUACUGCCUGAGGAUGAGCCUGCGCCCCAUUAGCUUGUUGGUAGGGUAAUGGCCUACCAAGGCUACGAUGGGUAGCUGGUCUGAGAGGAUGAUCAGCCACACUGGAACUGGAACACGGUCCAGACUCCUACGGGAGGCAGCAGUGAGGAAUAUUGCGCAAUGGGGGAAACCCUGACGCAGCGACGCCGCGUGGGUGAAGAAGGCCUUCGGGUCGUAAAGCCCUGUCUAGAGGGAAGAAAUUCUCAAUGGAAUAAUACCUGUUGAGAUUGACGGUACCUCUGGAGGAAGCACCGGCUAACUCCGUGCCAGCAGCCGCGGUAAUACG